GGCAAGAAACAAACGAUUUUUAUUGAUUCGUAAUGUAUAGUAGAAGUAUCUAAUUUUGGUUUCAAUUUGGACAUUACUUGAUUAGAAACUAGUACUACAAAUCACAAUCUUUUAGAAUUAAGGUAUUUAGGAAGUGUGUGAGAAAAAUGUAGUUAAACGGAAAAACAGGUUGAAUCCCUAGUAUUAACAAUGUAUGUAAAAUGAGUACCAAUUAUUCUUAAGAUAUACCAAAAAAAAAAAUUCUUGUCUUUAAGAAAGUAUGAUUGAAAUGCAACUGUCCUUGAGAGUUUUGGGUGAUUCAGAUGGAAGAAGGAAGUUGCUACUUAUAAUAGGAGCUGUAUCAAUUGCUAAUCCAUUUGAAGUUAAUGAUCUAGAGUAUUCUUUGUUUAGUUAAGAACCUUCUUAUUUAAGUAGGAUACGUAACCAGAAGUUUAUGUCCUGUUCCACUACUGUGGUUCAGAAUAUAGCGAUUCUACUUUACGCUCGUAGGUGCAGCUGAUAGAGGGAUCAAAUGGUAUAUAGUUCAUUUUUGGUAGCUUGAAGAAAGGAAAGCUCCUACUCUAGUCAUUGAGUGACAUAUAAAAUAAGGAGACAUCUUUAUGCAUGCAAAAUAUCUAUUCCAAACAUAUAUGCUAUGGUUCCUUACUUCGACAGGGUACAAAUAUCUAAAUUGCUUCAGCGGCUGCAAUGGCUAUAACAAAAAUUGAGAAAAUGUCUCCUUUUAAUUGACGAUGCUCUCUUUUUAGCUUUCAAAGCCAGUAGUUUAAAGAUGACAUUUACAAUGAUUUUGUCAAAGUGAAUGUUUCCAAUCUCAGAGAAAGCUGUCACUUUUAUCUAAAGAAUCCUUGCAAAGUAUUUUGAGACCAUUUACAGUAAGAUGAAAAUGUGCUAUGAUGAUUACAACAAAUUUUAUGCUGUAAAGCUAGAUUAAGCAGCAGGUUGAAAGUUUCUAAUUUUUUUGACAAUAUAUAUCUACUAAUAGUUCCUUUAUUCGAUUCUUGACUGGUUGGAGUGAUGGAAUUUCAUCUUUAACUUUAGCCUGUGCAGAAAUAGGCUAUAUAUUUGAUGUUUUUCAUAAUACCUCCGUUCAUUUCUCUGCUGUCUGUAAUUGAUUGCCUAGUAUGUUUACUUAUGUUGAGAUAUCUGAUUUUGCACACUGGAGAGACUAUGUGAGACUGAAAGGCUGUCGUGAACAACCAUCUAGUAGAGGAAGUUGAAUCAAAAGAAUAAAUAAAUGGAUAGAAAAUUGACUCUAAUAAAUUCUUAGCUAAUGAAAUGGUUAAAUUGAUUAAAAAGAAAGGGAAUUUUUGGCAGUGUAGAUGUCCUCAUCUAUUUAGUGCCAGUAACUUGGUCAAUGUUUUUUCUUUCUUGGAUUGAUAUUAUUGCUAUCUUCAUUCCUGUACCCAGUGUUAUAGUGGUCCUGGCUGUCCGCUCAGAGGCUAUCUUGCUUGCAAAUCAUUCUGAUUCUAUAUGAAGACAAUGGUCAGUAACUGCAAUGAUUUCAAAUGAUCUGUUUAACGGGUGUAUUUUUUCAUGGGGAGUCAGGUAGGUUUUCUUUAUGUUACACUGUUAAUUCUUCUGUUGGAGACUUAUAUUUUAGUCGAGGAGUUUGUAUCUGUACUUGGUAAAUUUUUCAUUGAAUCUCAAUAUUUGUGAUUCUUCAUGUUGGACAAUCUUCUUGUAG
Molecule: non-coding RNA, 1684 nt
Organism: Solanum lycopersicum (tomato)
Lineage: Eukaryota; Viridiplantae; Streptophyta; Magnoliopsida; Solanales; Solanaceae
Source: RefSeq, a predicted model, not a curated record